RNAcentral lists this ribosomal RNA (249 nucleotides) under uncultured Gaiellales bacterium. RNAcentral's name for it is "partial 16S ribosomal RNA". It matches the Rfam family "Bacterial small subunit ribosomal RNA", at positions 355 to 597 of the family's 1533-position model. The record is from RNAcentral. Lineage: Bacteria; Bacillati; Actinomycetota; Thermoleophilia; Gaiellales.
UGGGGAAUCUUGCGCAAUGGGCGAAAGCCUGACGCAGCAACGCCGCGUGGGGGAAGAAGGCUUUCGGGUUGUAAACCUCUUUCAGGGGGGACGAAGCCACCGGGGUUAAUAGCCCACGGGGUGACGGUACCCCCAGAAGAAGCCCCGGCUAACUACGUGCCAGCAGCCGCGGUAAUACGUAGGGGGCAAGCGUUGUCCGGAAUCAUUGGGCGUAAAGCGCGUGUAGGUGGCUUGGUAAGUCCGGUGUGA